RNAcentral lists this ribosomal RNA (468 nucleotides) under uncultured bacterium. RNAcentral describes it as "partial 16S ribosomal RNA". It matches the Rfam family "Bacterial small subunit ribosomal RNA", at positions 28 to 507 of the family's 1533-position model. The record is from RNAcentral.
GACGAACGCUGGCGGCGUGCUUAACACAUGCAAGUCGAACGGAAAGACCCUGCGUUUGUGCGGUGCUCGAGUGCCGAACGCGGGAGUAACACGUGAGUAACCUGCCCUUCUCUUUGGGAUAACUUCACGAAACUGGGGCUACUAUAGGAUAGGAGCUCCUGCUGCGUGGUGGGCGUUGGAUAGUUUCGGCGGUUGUGGUUAGACUCGCGGCUUACCGGCUUGUUGGUGGGGUAGUGGCAUACCCAGGGUUUGACGGAUAGGCGGCCUGGGAGGGUGGCCGGCCACAUUGGGACUACGGUACGGACCAGACGGCUACGGGAGGCAACGGUGGGGAACAUUACACAGUGGGCGGGAGCCUGAUACGGAAGCCCUGCGUGCGGGAUGACCGCUUUCGGGGUGUAAACCGCUUUCGCCUGAGACGAAGCGGGAGUGACGGUAAUGGGUAAAGAAGCACCGGCUAACUACGUG